CUCCUUCUAAGGAAGAACUCUAAUGGAAACGCUCACUCGUUGAGCCUCUGCCUUUCAGUUCUCUUGGAACAAGACGGAAGAGAGUCACUCUUACCGUCGUGCAUACCUUAAGCGGGUCUGCCGCCUUCGUUUCUCUUUCUUCGCGAAUGACUAACCUCCCUUUGGCUAUGCCCACAAGGCGUGCCUUGCCGGUGCAAAUGGUGCCAGCAGGGUUCGGUUUAGGGCUUGUAGCUCAGUUGGUUAGAGCGCGCGCUUGAUAAGCGUGAGGUCGGAGGUUCAAGUCCUCCCAGGCCCACCACUUCGCAAUCCGUAAGGAUUGUCGUUUGUUCCUCGACAAAAGGUAUCAGGGGCCGUAGCUCAGCUGGGAGAGCGCCUGCUUUGCAAGCAGGAUGUCGUCGGUUCGAUCCCGUCCGGCUCCACCAUUACCGCGCAAUCCGCAGGAUUGUCGCCUUGGUGUCGAGUAGAGAUGAGCGCCGAUCGGUCAGUCAUUCGUAUAAAGGUUUGCGGCGAGCAUCUAGCUCUCCGCCUGUUCUGUAUGACAUCGUAAAGAGAAGAUUUGUUCGAACUUCAUGAUCCGCAAGGUUCAUGAUUUGUCGCGGGAGACGCUCAAUCUCCCGCAUAUGAUGGGUUUGCCUAACCGCGCCCUCGAACCGAUCUCGAGAAGCUGGUCUUUUUGUGCCAAUUCCAUUGAAUCCAGGUUCUGCACAGGAUCUGGUUCGGGCGACAAUCCUUCGGGAUUGCGCGAUGGGCAUUGGCAAUGAGAACGAUCAAGUGUCUUAAGGGCAAUUGGUGGAUGCCUUGGCAUGCACAGGCGAUGAAGGACGUGAUACGCUGCGAUAAGCUACGGGGAGGUGCGAAUACCCUUUGAUCCGUAGAUUUCCGAUG
This 885-nucleotide unclassified non-coding RNA is filed under the name Mesorhizobium amorphae. RNAcentral's name for it is "partial contains 16S-23S ribosomal RNA intergenic spacer, and 23S ribosomal RNA". The stretch from base 766 to 885 matches the Rfam family "Bacterial large subunit ribosomal RNA", at positions 1 to 119 of the family's 2925-position model. Lineage: Bacteria; Pseudomonadati; Pseudomonadota; Alphaproteobacteria; Hyphomicrobiales; Phyllobacteriaceae. The record is from RNAcentral.